This 115-nucleotide ribosomal RNA is filed under the name Oryza nivara. The record is from RNAcentral. Lineage: Eukaryota; Viridiplantae; Streptophyta; Magnoliopsida; Poales; Poaceae. RNAcentral also lists the same sequence under 1 other name.
CCAUGUGUAUCAGCACUGAAGCAACGGAUUCCAUCAGAACUCCGAAGUUAAGCGUGCUUGGGUGAGAGUAGUACUAGGAUGGGUGACCUCCUGGGAAAUCCUCGUGUUGCAUCCC